Molecule: ribosomal RNA, 373 nt
Filed under: uncultured bacterium
Lineage: Bacteria
Description: bacterial SSU rRNA
Rfam family: Bacterial small subunit ribosomal RNA
Source: RNAcentral
ACGUAGGUGGCGAGCGUUAUCCGGAUUUACUGGGCGUAAAGAGCGCGCAGGCGGUCGUGCAAGUCGGAUGUGAAAGCCCCCGGCUCAACUGGGGAAGGUCAUUCGAUACUGCUCGACUUGAAGGCGGGAGAGGGAAGCGGAAUUCCCGGUGUAGUGGUGAAAUGCGUAGAUAUCGGGAGGAACACCAGUGGCGAAGGCGGCUUCCUGGCCCGUUCUUGACGCUGAGGCGCGAAAGCUAGGGGAGCAAACGGGAUUAGAUACCCCGGUAGUCCUAGCCGUAAACGAUGGACACUAGGUGUUGGUGGUAUCAACCCCGCCAGUGCCGAAGCUAACGCAUUAAGUGUCCCGCCUGGGGAGUACGGCCGCAAGGCUA